AAAUCAUGACACUCAAAAUGUCAAUUCAGAAGAAGCAGAGGCACCAACCCUGAUGUUCUUUUUAGAAGUGGCAUUUUGAGUGUCAUGAUUUGGAGAGUCGCUGUGGCUGUUCCAAGCAAGGAGAGAGGGGAGAAGGAAACAGCUACAGGAGGAGGAGCAGCAGGGAGGAGGGGCAUUGGCCAUUCCAUACUGCUCUGGAAGGCUCUUCUUAUUUAUUUAUUUAUUUAUUUAUUUAUUUAUUUAUUCAUGUUUUUUUGAGACAGGGUCUCACUCCGGUUGCCCAGGCUGGAGUGUACUGGUGCGAUCUCAGCUCACUGCAGCCUUGACCUUCCAGGCUCAGGUGAUUCUCCCACCUCAGCCUCCCAAGUGGCUGUAACCACACAUGCGUGCCACCAUGCUUGGCUAAUUUGUUGUAUUUUCAGUAAAGAUGGGGUUUCACCUUUUGCCACACUUAAAGUAUCAUUGGGUCUGUUGAGUCAGAAGGACAAGUCAUAGAGCAUCUUGAGACCACCUUGUUGCCCAGGCUGGUCUCAAGCCCCUGGAUUCAAGCUGUCCACUUGCCUUGGCCUCCCAAAGUGCUGAAACUACAGGAGUGAGCCACCACAUCCAGCUUCCUUAUUUCUUCUCCAAAGCUCAACUCACACAUUGCUCCCCAGAAAGGUUGCACUGAUGACAAUGGUUUGUCUCCCCUUUCUCUUGAUCCUGUCUGUGCUCACUCCUCUGCCCCAUCUUUGCCACACUCUGUUUCCUUUCAGAGUCGGUGGCUUCCUUCUGUCUCAUCCAGUGAACUGAGAGCUCCUUAAGGAACAGAGUCUUACUCUUGUGUUUCACCUUCAAUGUCUAUAGUUAUGCCACAUAGAAAGCCACACACAGAAGACAGAUAGAUUUGCAAGUUCUGGGAUAACAAACUGUUACGAGGUAAAAAGUCUUGACUCUGAGUUGUCCAGGCUCAUGGGGCAUUGAACAAAGAAUGAACAAAACACUCAGCCAAAGCAACAAAAGAGCAAAGCAAUGAAAGAAGCAACAAAAGCACAGAUUUGUUGUGCACAAACAAAGCAAAAAAAGAAUGAAGCAAUGAAAGCACAGAUUUAUUGAAGCAAAGUACACUCCACAGAGUGGAAGCCAACUUAUGUAAAGGGCUCAAGAGCGCUGAUUACAAUGUUCUUUAGGGUUUUAAGCUAUUAAUAAUUUAGCAACACCCCUAGGUGCCCUUUAGAGGCCUCCAAUUGGUUACACCCUAUGAAGGAC
This 1248-nucleotide long non-coding RNA is filed under the name Homo sapiens (human). RNAcentral describes it as "HSALNT0263841". Lineage: Eukaryota; Metazoa; Chordata; Mammalia; Primates; Hominidae. The record is from RNAcentral.